RNAcentral lists this ribosomal RNA (2628 nucleotides) under Triticum aestivum (bread wheat). RNAcentral's name for it is "partial small subunit ribosomal RNA". The record is from RNAcentral. Lineage: Eukaryota; Viridiplantae; Streptophyta; Magnoliopsida; Poales; Poaceae.
AUGGUGGAGGGAAGGAGCUGUCUCCCUGCAGAGAUCAGGAAUGGGCUUGAGACUCUGAAGAAGAGGAGACUUGAGAGGAUGCGUUUGAGUGCUCAGAAAGACACCGGUGACAAUCCUGCCAUGGCUGCGAGGAGCGGCGGGGAUUCACUGCGGACUCCUGCAAACUGUGGGGUGAGAUUGCAUGCCAACAACGUUACUGCGGGUUUACCUAGCACUAGCAGUGCCCAGAACAAUAAUCCAUUCGCAAAGCGCAAGGUGGACAAGUUCAAUAUGUCUAACCUAGAGUGGAUAGACAACAUACCAGAGUGCCCUGUGUAUUGCCCCACCAAGGAGGAAUUCGAGGAUCCCAUUGCGUAUAUACAGAAAAUUUCCCCAGUGGCUUCAAAAUACGGCAUUUGCAAAAUUGUGGCUCCUGUAAGCGCUUCUGUGCCUGCUGGUGUCGUGCUGAUGAAGGAACAACCUGGUUUUAAGUUCAUGACUAGAGUUCAGCCACUUCGUCUUGCUGAAUGGGCUGAAGACGACACGGUCACUUUCUUUAUGAGUGGACGAAAGUACACUUUCAGAGACUACGAGAGAAUGGCCAACAAAGUGUUCUCUAAGAAGUAUUCCAGUGCUAGUUGUCUCCCUGCUAGGUACGUGGAGGAGGAAUUCUGGCGUGAAAUCUCUUCUGGAAAGAUGGAUUUUGUUGAAUAUGCUUGUGAUGUUGAUGGGAGUGCCUUCUCUUCUUCUCCUCGUGAUCAGCUUGGGAAAAGCAACUGGAACCUCAAGAAUUUUUCACGGCUCCCCAGUUCUGUGCUGAGACUUCUGCAGACGCCAAUUCCAGGAGUGACAGAUCCAAUGCUUUAUAUCGGUAUGCUCUUUAGCAUGUUUGCAUGGCAUGUUGAAGAUCACUAUUUGUACAGCAUCAAUUAUCAUCAUUGUGGGGCAUUUAAGACAUGGUAUGGGAUACCAGGCGAUGCUGCUCCUGGAUUUGAAAAGGUGGCAAGCCAGUAUGUGUACAACAAGGAUAUUUUGACUGGUGAUGGAGAGGAUGCGGCUUUUGAUGUUCUGUUAGGGAAGACAACAAUGUUCCCCCCAAAUAUCUUGUUAGACCACAAUGUUCCUGUUUAUAAAGCUGUGCAGAAGCCUGGAGAGUUUGUUAUAACAUUCCCUCGUUCAUACCAUUCAGGUUUCAGCCAUGGCUUCAAUUGUGGAGAGGCUGUCAAUUUUGCUAUUGGCGACUGGUUUCCCCUGGGCUCUCUGGCUAGCAAACGCUACGCACUUCUGAACAGAACACCCUUUCUUGCACAUGAGGAGCUACUUUGUCGUUCUGCGAUGCUUCUGUCCCACAAACUGAGUGAUCCAGAAACAAUUAAUUCUGAACAUCCAUACACUCAAUAUUGUGUGAAGUCUUCCUUUGUGAGAUUGAUGCGACUGCAGCGGCGCACACGCAGCUUACUCGCUAAAAUGGGUUCUCAGAUAUACUACAAGUCAAAAAUGUAUUCGAACCUAUCAUGUAGCAUGUGCCGGCGUGAUUGCUACGUUACACAUGUGUCAUGCGGAUGCACCUUUGAUCCUAUCUGCCUUCAUCAUGAACAAGAACUGCGGAGCUGCUCUUGUAAAUCUGACCGGAUUGUCUACGUCAGAGAGGACAUACUGGAGUUAGAGGCUCUAUAUAGAAAAUUCGAGCAGGAUAUUCGCCUGGAUAAGGAAACAAGUGCUAAUGUCUCGUAUAAGCAAGCUGCGAUUUCUGAUAUUGGUGAUGAUCAUGGUCCAUCAGUUGGGACUAACCAGGACAUAAGCAACAGUGAAGCAAACUUGCUAGAAGCAAAUGCUGCUAACGGUGGAAAGAGUUCUCCUGCAACUUCAUCGUUGACGUCUUUUGCACAACGAGACGGGUCUCUGGCUGCAGAACCAAAGGCCCAUGCAGCUCGAACCGACCAAAUUUGGUCAAUUACUAAGCAGUUCAUAAAAACAUCAUCAAUGGAAGGAAAUGGUCUGCUGGAUGGCAAUUCAUCCUGCAUGGCUGAUGCUUGCAAUGAAAUUAGUUCCUGCAAUGCUUCACCCAUGGAAUACAGUGGCAAUUCUGAUUCUGAUUCCGAAAGCUUCCGGGUCAAGCGCAGAUCCAGCAUAUUAGGAAGAUCUGCUCCUGACACAAAGACAACAAACAUGUCUGAACAGAAGGUUCUGAAGCGGCUGAAGAAGGCAUCCCCAGAAACACAACAUGACAAUAAGCGACCUGAAGAAGACUCAGUUCCCUCAGUUAGUAUGAGGCACAAUAAGUCAAAUUCUGCCUCUUCUGAGGAAGAUAGAGAGGACAUGGUUCCCAUUGCCUGGAGGAUGAAGCGGCGGCAGCUGGAAGCUCAACAAGGCGACACCAGUUAUGCCGUGCAGCAGUCGAAGGUGUAUCCAUCUACCAGCAGCUGUUCCCAGCAGCAGUCGAAGGUGUAUCCAUCUACCAGCAGCUGUUCCCAGCAGCAGUUUGCGGAGGCAACUAAAGACGCAGCAGCCUCAGAGGUCCGGCCGAAGCGGGUGAAGAUCCGGUUGCCUCGUAGCUAUAACAGGCUGGUCGAGCAGCAGCAGCAGGGCAGUUCAGGCCAGAGAUUUGCAGUGGAUGACAAGCCGCCUGGGUUUUGGCAUACGGUUUAG